Molecule: ribosomal RNA, 407 nt
Filed under: uncultured bacterium
Lineage: Bacteria
Description: partial 16S ribosomal RNA
Rfam family: Bacterial small subunit ribosomal RNA
Source: RNAcentral
AUUGAACGCUGGCGGCAGGCCUAACACAUGCAAGUCGAGCGGAGCGGCGGACGGGUGAGUAAUGACUAGGAAUCUGCCUGGGAGUGGGGGAUAACGUCCGGAAACGGGCGCUAAUACCGCAACCUAUCAGAUGAGCCUAGGUCGGAUUAGCUUGGUGGUGGGGUAAAGGCUUACCAAGGCGACGAUCCGUAACUGGUCUGAGAGGAUGAUCAGCAACACUGGAACGGAGACACGGUCCAGACUCCUACGGGAGGCAGCAGUGGGGAAUAGUGUACAAUGGGCGAAAGCCUGAUCCAGCCAUGCCGCGUGUGUGAAGAAGGUCUUCGGAUUGUAAAGCACUUUAAGUUGGGAGGCGUUACCAGCAGAAUAAGCACCGGCUAACUUCGUGCCAGCAGCCGCGGUAAUUC